AAUAUCACACAGCAUUAUCUGUCUAUACACACAGAGCAUAUCUCCAUGCAGAGACACACUGGCACAUUUUGCUCUCCUCGAUGCACGCUUGAGUAUUGCUACAUGCUUUGUUGGAAUACUCUUUUCGCUCUCCUCUCGCAACUGCCUAAUAGUGCCUAGUGGAGGUUACUGGGGCUUGCUUGCAUUUCUCUGGUCAGCCUUCUGUAAAAUCUAUCCACUUCAUUAAUUUCAUUUUCCCCCGAUCAUCCCGGUUUGCUUGACAGCUCCGUCUCCCAUCCUUCCAUCCCAGCUCGGCUGCCGUAAUGCCAGGCAAGGUCAUCGACGCAACGGUUGAUACUAGGCCUUUAGAGAUGUCCGUUGUCUCUUGAUUACUCCUCCGAUUGACAACCUUAUUGUGACCUUCGAUACAGCCCCUGGUGCUCUUCAUACGUUCAUGAACGAACCUUGUAGGAGUUUCAUUGUGGAAUAAACUCAGGAAAUCGUACAAUUUGGAUUCUCUUACAUAGUAGGUUCUAUGCCUUUGAACUUGAAGCAAAUAUAUUUAGCUGCGUUACUUCAAACCUGGAAGAAUAACAAGGAAAUUAGUCACAAGUCCGCUCAGAUAGCGAUCAUGCUUGAGUGACGGCAGGAAUGGUUCUUCAGUUUUAAGCAGAAUAUCAGAAGAAAAAAAAUCCGCAAGAAUGAAAAGAACUAGAUGACAUCGCCUGAUUCGUAAAGUUAACAGGGGCUGACAUAUCAGGAGGAGGCUACCAUCUUAAAGGCUGACUGCUUGCCCAUGUGAUGACCAAUCGGGAAGGGGCUUUUAUCAGAGGCUGAAACUUUUGACCAAUCACAAAGCUGCUUGUGGAGUGAUCAUUGUUCAGAUCUACCUCUUGGAGUGAAAUACUCGUGAAGGGAUUUCGAUCCUUAGUGGGGCAGAAGGCACUUCCAUUAAACCACAUUUGAAUAUUUAAAUAUUUGAAACUGACCAAUCAGAGAGGUUGUAACAUAAGUGCUGGCCAAUCAGAUGAGAGUUUAGGCCUGGUCUUAACAAUUUGAAUCAGCUGAGCAGGAAAGGAAGAGUUGCAUCAUGUCGACAACACCGUGUGGCACCUUCGCGAAGAUUGUACUAUUUGUAGUCAAUUUUGUCUUUUGGCUAACAGGAGUAGCAGUACUAGGUAUAGGAAUAUGGGUGAGCGUGGAUCGAGGCACGGCCGACUUCCUACCGCUAUUCGAGGACCCCCUCUUCAAAAUACUGGGCUAUUCCAUGAUCGGCAUAGGGGGGUUCGUCACCCUCCUUGGUUUUAUUGGAUGUUUCGGAGCCUGUCAUGAACACAAGUGGAUGGUUUGGCUGGUAAGUUCGCUUUUAGAGCCCCGGAAAAUCCCCAUUUUCUUGCUGGUUUAGUCAGUAGGUUGUGAAAAGUGCCGGGAAUAAAAUAUCUUUUUUUGCCUUUUUAUGGCACCACAGCCAAACAAUAAAUGGCAAGUUUCUAGUAGACAUAAAUUAAUCAAAAGGACAUGGCAAGAAACAGAGGAUUUGAAGGCCUCAGGCCAUUUUGAAGCCUAAAAGAAAUUUUCAAAGAAUUAUAGUUAUAAUUAAAGAAACAAUGUUCAGUUACUCCGUUGCAUUAUAUUGCAGAUCAAACUAGUUCUGAAAUUUGGUGCACAUAUUGACUUUGAAAUGAUAUGUAUUUAGGCAAAUCCCUACUUGAAAGAACACUGUCCCACAGUGUUUUCACAGUGUGGAACACAAUGUGAAAUCACCUUCACACUGUUAAAUUUGAGCAUUUUAACAGUGUGAAUCACAUAGUCAACCAUGUGAGCACGCUAUGAACCGUCACAAUGUCGAUAAGUCCACAGUGUGAAAAUAUCUUCACACUGUUGAAUUUGACCAUUUUUACAGUGUGAAUUAUAUUUUUACAUAGUCCACUAUGUAAACACACUGUGAUCACACUUUGUGACAUUGUUCUUUCGAACAUGGCAUGUUGAAAUAUUAGUCUAUAUUUUCAUCACAAUUCUUGCCUCACUAUAUUUUGGCGAAAAAUCAGUAAAAUAUUGUGUCCCAACUUUUCUUACUUUUAUUUACCCACACUCUCAACUGAAAAAUAGAUGGCAGAGCCCUUAUACAUGUACAGUAUUUAUAAUGUUUUUCCCAUCAACGUUUACCCUUGACUUUAAAGUCAAGUGGGAUGAGUCUGCUGUGUAAUAUCACAAUAGAUACUUUCAUACCCCUACUCCAUCACAAGAAUACCAAUUAAGUACAAAAACUUGGAAUAUUCACGCCUCAACAUGUCUUAUAAUUUUCAAGUAUUGAGUGGAGAAGAGGAAGGCGUCAAUCCACACGAUGUGACGGCCCUGUCACAUCGUUCUUUGCAAGCAUUGCUUGUGAUUUGCGGGUAACAAUUUUUGCUACCCGCAGGUCGCCCGCAUUGACAGUAUCUUACACGUAUCUCACACGCAGUUGCCCGCAGGAGCGCACACAAGUCGAAUUUGCACACAGAAAAGUUUUGAACAUGCUCAAAUCUUUAUUGCGGGUGAGUUGUGGGUGAUUGCCCGCAACUCACCAGCAAUGCAUGCAAGCAUGGAGCGAUGUGACAGGGCCUUAUCAGGACAUACAAAUACUCAUAACUCUCUUAUCGCUUGUCCAUUUUCACUCAAACUUUUGUUGAUCUUCUUUGAUUUUCUGCUUUUAUACAAGUUAGCUUGUUCCAAGGGUUUCAAUCCCCCCCAAAUAAUUUGCUAAUGUACAUGUAAGCUGGCAAAAGCGUGGGGGUUUUUCACAAAGAAUUAAGAAUGACUUCGAGGAAAUACCUAGUUGCAUGCAGUAUGAAAUUCAUAGAACGCGUGUGGUAUGAAAGGCAUAACCACAUUGGUCAGUUCAUAUGCCAAGAGGACGCUCACUACUGCGUAUCAAUAAAAAAAGAUUGCGCAUUGCAUAUCAUGUACAUGUAUGCGUCAAUAUUUAAGUCGAUUCUAAGUCAUACUUAAAUAUUUGUGAAAACACCCCCUUAAAUAUUUGUGAAAACACCCCCAUGGUAUUCUCUGAUUUGGGUAGAAUUCCUGAUAAAAAUACCAUGUUUCUGUGACCGAGUAGGUAUGAAAGCCCCAUAACAUCAUGUGAUUUCAUGGUAUACUCGCUGCAUCACACAAAAGAGGAAAAACGAUUGUGAAAACAGACAAUUUCUUGUUCAUAUUCACAUUAGCAGAAAUAGUUGUUUAACUGUAUGCAAGGUCCUGUGCAGGUUUGCAUGGAAUUUACAAAGUCUGAAUGUGCUAGAAAUGGUGAAAAACUUUAUUUCAGAUAACAGGAAGUGGGAGAGACCCUUGGGUGUAAUUUCUUAUGAAAAAUUUGUCUUUGAGGUUUUGGCAAAUAAAAAUGAUAUGAUGACAAAAUAAUGACUGGAUAAAUAUCCCUGUCUUUUCCAUUAACUUCACAUUCAUGAGCACGUAGGAAGCACUUUCUUUAAUAUUUUUUUUUUCAUAUUGCCACAAUUGCUGAAAGUUUGGAGCUAUGUCUUUAAUUUCAAGGGCUGGUCUGUUUUGUGCAACAAGCAAUAUAUGCUGUUUAAGGCAUUUCUCAUCAUUCCAAGCACUGUAUGAUGUAAAUUGAUUUAUACCGGUAUCUAAACUAUCUUGAAUAAUGUUGGUGGCAGAUCUUUGGGCGACUUUAGAAACGAUGGUCACCCCAAAGCCCGGGGGGGGGGGGGCAGUCAAAUGUAUUGCUGUACACAUGCAUGGCCAAAUUAUUUCCAAACACCCCUAAACGAUUUUUGUCUGUGUGCAAAAUAAUCCCCAUAACAAGUUUCUUCGCGGGCUUUAUUUACACAUUUUGGCCCCUAAACAAGUUGUUGCCAGAUUAUGACCCCGGGGAAAAAGCUUGGGGGAAAAAAACAUAAACUAAACACGUUUGGCUAGUCUUAAAAAAAAAGCUUUGGAAAGAAAACAUACCCAAAUAUUUUUGACCCUGCGAUUGACCAUUGACCAGUCUUUCAAAACUACCCCUUU
Molecule: long non-coding RNA, 3984 nt
Organism: Lytechinus pictus (painted urchin)
Lineage: Eukaryota; Metazoa; Echinodermata; Echinoidea; Temnopleuroida; Toxopneustidae
Exons: 4
Source: RefSeq, a predicted model, not a curated record